UGUUAUUACUGAUGUCCUAAUGUGUAAGCAGCAUUUAAAUGUUGAUGCUUGGCUCAGUGGAGCUAUUUUUUAUGUUGGGAUGUUCAAUCUAUAACAAUCAUAUGCCUUUUUUCUAAAAUUGUAAUAUUAAAAGUAACAACAAAAACUCACUGAGUCAUAGUAUAAAAUAGUGAUAGCAGAAAAUAGUAAUACUCAAAUGAAGUACAAGUAGGCCUACCUCCAAAACAUACUUUGAUAGAUGCCUUCCACCACUGAGUAAAUUAUGCUGUGGGCUCUGAUUAAACAAAUCAAAGUUAACAUUUAUAUGUCUUUAUACAGAGAUAACUCUUGAUAUGGAUUAUCAGAGGAAACAGGCCUGGCUGCAGACGCCAAGUCACCCUGCUGGACUUUGCUGAAGAGUCCAGAGGCUGAGGGGCCAACGGUCGGGCGAGGCGCUGACAGUAAAAAAAAUAAAUAAAAAAUUUCAGCAUGAGAAGCAGUCUUGGAUUUGAUGUCAGAGACUGAGAUGGCCGCCUUGAUAAAGUUGGUCUGGCUUGCAGAGAUUGGCAGCCUUCUCCUUGGAAAAGAAAACAGAAAGGGCCCUACAUAAACAGAGGAAAAUGGCCCUGGCCGAGCAGAAAAACAGCCCUGUAUGAUGUGACCGGCUAACUUUGGAACGAUAUCAGUUCAGACGUCACCAAGCCAUCUGGAAUAACAACAUCGCUUUAAGCUGCACAACCGGGAUGGAAAAACAGAUGAGGGAAAGAGAAGAAGAAAGGAAACGAGAAAGCUGUACAAAAGGCUCGCUGCUCUCUGCUUGUAUCUGCGGUGAAACAUUCCCACUCAGCAGUUCUUAGGAGAAAUCGCUAGUUUUGUCCAUGCCGUAUAUCAUUUUUAUUACUCCAAAGGUCAGUGCUAUAAGAUUACAGAUUUACAGUCAUCAGCUUGAUCUCAUUCAGCUGAUACAUCAAGGUAUGAAAUUCAGAGAUAAUAUCAGUAAUGGCAGCAUACGAAUAGCAGGAUGUUCUUUGUGAGCAGUGAACUUAUGUGAUCCGAAUGAGAUGUAACUGUGAGCAACAGUGUCUGGGCAACCAUUCUGAACCCUCAGAGCAUCCAUGCAAGGCAUUCAAGGAAUCUGUGGACUUUCAUGGUGCAUGAACAGCCUCCUGGCUGCUUUCGCCAAUGGACAAAACUGUCAGCAGGCAACACAUCACAGGCGGAGGCGGGGACAUUCAGCAGAGCAGCCUGUUUCCUACAAAGGGUGUCUGCAUGCCAGUGUGUGAUUGGUGUAAACUGAAGAUCAAUGGGGUCAUACAGAGACAAUAAACAUUCUCUCUCUAAUAUUACCAGUGUAAAUAAAUAGUUGGGUAAACUGACCUUCAAUCAGCAGUGAAUACAAGACAAAAACCCAAACUUACAACAAAAACACUUAAAAAUGUAACUUUAGGGCAAGGCAAGUUUAUUUGCAUAGCACAUUUCAACAAUAAAAGUGGUUUUCAUAAAACAUAAAAGGCAUUUUACUGGAUUUUACUCCAACCAUCAAUGUCAGCCUAACAAAACUGAGAAGAACAGAAAUCAUAACACAAAUAAACUGAGUGCACUUCAUGUCUGCGAUACCCAGGCAUGUUUAACUUUUAGCUUCUAAUCUUUGUUGCUUAAUGGAAGAGGGCCUAUGUGCGUAAUGGUUUUAUUUAUUUCCGCAACCUUUAAAAUGUCGCCUUUUGACCCCAAUACAGAAAAUCAGCGACCAGCCGGUGGGACAGAGAGUAAUCAGACCUCAAAAGACACAAGUGAGGAGAGAGAGGGAUUUCCUUUCUAAGAUGAUACAGUCAUCCGUCAUAAUAGCUGUCACAAUGAUAUGGUUCAACGGUUCCCAUUUCCCCAUCCGCUGUGUAUGUUUGUGUUUAGUGUGUGCCUGUAUGAACACACGUGAGCCUGUCUGUGUCUAUAGAAGCCUGAUCUCAUGGCGUGUACAGUAAUAAUGUUACCUUAAUUUCAGUGGCGGAAGAAGUACAUUAUUUACACCUUUUACUUAACUAAAAGUAAAGUUUGUUUAAUACUGUUGGGUACUUUAAUUUAGAAAAAUACGUAAUAUUUAUAAAGCUUAUUAUAUAUUUUGUCAAAGUAACUAGUAACUAGUAUAGUACCAAAGUACCAGUAUACUGGUUACUUAAAUUAAUGUAGCAAUACUAUUCUGUAAAAAUACUAUUAUUGUGCCUGUCUGCGCUGGUGCGCCUCCACCCCCCUUUCCCACCUCCCAGUUGCAAGUUGCUUUGAGUUUUAUGUUGUAAAGUGUGAUCAUAUGUGCUUAUGUUGCUGAGGUUUUUUCCAUGUCCCACACUGUACUCCCCUACAGGAGCAGAGUCUGGGAGCUGCUUUUUUCUUCUCCCCUCUCCUCUUGUUUUUCUCCCCCCCCUGUUCCCCCCACAAGUAAUUUCCCCACGGGAUUAUUAAAGUAUAUCUGA
Dicentrarchus labrax (European seabass) is the source of this 2444-nucleotide long non-coding RNA. RefSeq lists it as uncharacterized. The record is from RefSeq and is a predicted model, not a curated record. The transcript is spliced from 3 exons. Lineage: Eukaryota; Metazoa; Chordata; Actinopteri; Moronidae.